Molecule: ribosomal RNA, 253 nt
Filed under: uncultured bacterium
Lineage: Bacteria
Description: partial 16S ribosomal RNA
Rfam family: Bacterial small subunit ribosomal RNA
Source: RNAcentral
UACGGGGGGGGCAAGCGUUGUUCGGAAUUACUGGGCAUAAAGCGCGCGUAGGCGGUCCGUUAAGUCAUGUGUGAAAUCCCCCGGCUCAACCGGGGAAUUGCGCCUGAUACUGGCGGGCUAGAGAUCGAUAGGGGUGAGUGGAACUCCAGGUGGAGCGGUGAAAUGCGUAGAUAUCUGGAGGAACACCGGUGGCGAAAGCGGCUCACUGGAUCGAUACUGACGCUGAGGUGCGAAAGCUAGGGUAGCAAACGGG